GCUGGCGGCGUGCCAAACACAUGCAAGUCGAACGGUCUCUUCGGAGAUAGUGGCGGACGGGUGAGUAACGCGUGAGAAUCUACCUUUAGGUUCGGGACAACAGUUGGAAACGGCUGCUAAUACCGAAUGUGUCGCAAGAUGAAAGAUUAAUUGCCUGAAGAUGAGCUCGCGUCUGAUUAGCUAGUUGGUGGGGUAAAAGCUUACCAAGGCGACGAUCAGUAGCUGGUCUGAGAGGAUGAUCAGCCACACUGGGACUGAGACACGGCCCAGACUCCUACGGGAGGCAGCAGUGGGGAAUUUUCCGCAAUGGGCGAAAGCCUGACGGAGCAACGCCGUGUGAGGGAGGAAGGCUCUUGGGUUGUAAACCUCUUUUCUCAAGGAAGAUAAUGACGGUACUUGAGGAAUCAGCAUCGGCUAACUCCGUGCCAGCAGCCGCGGUAAUACGGAGGAUGCAAGCGUUAUCCGGAAUAAUUGGGCGUAAAGCGUUCGUAGGUGGUGAUGUAAGUCUGCUGUUAAAGCGUGUAGCUUAACUACAUAUAGGCGGUGGAAACUACAUGACUAGAGUGCGUUCGGGGCAGAGGGAAUUCCUGGUGUAGCGGUGAAAUGCGUAGAUAUCAGGAAGAACACCGGUGGCGAAGGCGCUCUGCUAGGCCGUAACUGACACUGA
Molecule: ribosomal RNA, 667 nt
Filed under: uncultured bacterium
Lineage: Bacteria
Description: bacterial SSU rRNA
Rfam family: Bacterial small subunit ribosomal RNA
Source: RNAcentral